ACCGGUGUAGCUCAAUUGGUAGAGCACACUGACUUGUAAUCAGAGGUUGGGGUUCAAGUCCUCUUGCCGGCACCA
This 75-nucleotide transfer RNA is filed under the name Priestia megaterium. RNAcentral describes it as "Bacillus megaterium tRNA-Thr". It matches the Rfam family "tRNA". Rfam says of the family: Transfer RNA (tRNA) molecules are approximately 80 nucleotides in length. Lineage: Bacteria; Bacillati; Bacillota; Bacilli; Caryophanales; Bacillaceae. The record is from RNAcentral.